AGGAUUCCCCUAGUAACUGCGAGUGAAGCGGGAAAAGCUCAAAUUUAAAAUCUGGCGGUCUCUGGCCGUCCGAGUUGUAAUCUAGAGAAGUAAUGCCCGUGCUGGACCGUGUAUAAGUCUCCUGGGAUGGGGCGUCAUAGAGGGUGAGAAUCCCGUCUUUGACACGGACUACCAGUGCAUUGUGGUAUGCUCUCAAAGAGUCGAGUUGUUUGGGAAUGCAGCUCAAAAUGGGUGGUAAAUUCCAUCUAAAGCUAAAUAUUGGCGAGAGACCGAUAGCGAACAAGUACCGUGAGGGAAAGAUGAAAAGAACUUUGGAAAGAGAGUUAAACAGUACGUGAAAUUGCUGAAAGGGAAACGCUUGAAGUCAGUCGCGUUGGCCAGGGAUCAGCCUUGCUCUUGCAUGGUGUACUUUCUGGUUGACGGGUCAGCAUCAAUUUUGACUGCUGGAAAAGGGCCUUGGGAAUGUAGCAGCUUUGGCUGUGUUAUAGCCCCUGGUCGCAUACAGUGGUUGGGAUUGAGGAACUCAGCACGCCGCAAGGCCGGGUUUCGACCACGUUCGUGCUUAGGAUGCUGGCAUAAUGGCUUUAAGCGACCCGUCUUGAAACACGGACCAAGGAGUCUAACAUGCCUGCGAGUAUUUGGGUGGAAAACCCGAGUGCGCAAUGAAAGUGAAAGUUGAGAUCCCUGUCGUGGGGAGCAUCGACGCCCGGACCAGAACUUUUGGGACGGAUCCGCGGUGGAGCAUGUAUGUUGGGACCCGAAAGAUGGUGAACUAUGCCUGAAUAGGGUGAAGCCAGAGGAAACUCUGGUGGAGGCUCGUAGCGAUUCUGACGUGCAAAUCGAUCGUCAAAUUUGGGUAUAGGGGCGAAA
This 870-nucleotide ribosomal RNA is filed under the name Agaricus pallidobrunneus. RNAcentral describes it as "eukaryotic LSU rRNA". It matches the Rfam family "Eukaryotic large subunit ribosomal RNA", at positions 71 to 928 of the family's 3401-position model. The record is from RNAcentral. Lineage: Eukaryota; Fungi; Basidiomycota; Agaricomycetes; Agaricales; Agaricaceae.